UACGCAGGGGGCAAGCGUUAUCCGGAUUUACUGGGUGUAAAGGGAGCGUAGACGGCAUGGCAAGUCAGAUGUGAAAGCCCGGGGCUCAACCCCGGGACUGCAUUUGAAACUGUCAGGCUGGAGUGCAGGAGAGGUAAGUGGAAUUCCUAGUGUAGCGGUGAAAUGCGUAGAUAUUAGGAGGAACACCAGUGGCGAAGGCGGCUUACUGGACUGUAACUGACGUUGAGGCUCGAAAGCGUGGGGAGCAAACAGG
This 253-nucleotide ribosomal RNA is filed under the name uncultured bacterium. RNAcentral's name for it is "partial 16S ribosomal RNA". It matches the Rfam family "Bacterial small subunit ribosomal RNA", at positions 524 to 776 of the family's 1533-position model. The record is from RNAcentral.